Molecule: small nucleolar RNA, 99 nt
Organism: Camellia sinensis
Lineage: Eukaryota; Viridiplantae; Streptophyta; Magnoliopsida; Ericales; Theaceae
Product: small nucleolar RNA snoR109
Source: RefSeq, a predicted model, not a curated record
UGGCUGUAGCUACAUACAAGAGAUUCAAUCAGAGAAGUUUUACUGGCCGCUUGUUGUUUAUUUUGAUCAGCAAAUCUGCUUACCGAGCUUCUCACAUAU